Non-coding RNA from Pelobates cultripes (western spadefoot toad), 206 nucleotides. The record is from the annotation of a GenBank genome assembly. NCBI's taxonomy places the organism in Eukaryota, Metazoa, Chordata, Amphibia, Anura, Pelobatidae.
AAAAUGCCUCCAGGUCUCCUUUCAUGAACCGCACGUUUGAGAUCUCCCCAGAGUGAGUCGAUGAUAUUAAGGUCAGGAGACUGUGAUGAUCACUUCCGAACCUUCACCUUUUUUGCUGUAACCACUGGAGAGUCAUCUUGGCCUUGUGCUUAGGGUCAUUGUCAUGCUGCAUUAUUCUUUCCAUCAAUUUCCCCAUGCCUUUAGAG